RNAcentral lists this long non-coding RNA (3623 nucleotides) under Gallus gallus (chicken). Lineage: Eukaryota; Metazoa; Chordata; Aves; Galliformes; Phasianidae. The record is from RNAcentral.
GGGCUCCGCACCACUACACUUCCUGGCCUGCAGGAAUAUUUGCCAGGUCAUGAGGAAUAAGGUUGCUAUUUUCUUAAAAUUUACCCUCAUUAUUUUGUAUAGUGUACGGAUACCAUGUACAGCUUAAGCACUCAAGCUUGCAAAUAACUAUGCACGUGUACAAUUCUAUGUUUUUUUCUGAAACCCAAUUUAGGUAAAUUGAAUGAGUCACGUGGUGAAAGUAAAGCUUAUGUAUGCAGAACUGCACUGCAUAUCCGAUGGUUUAUGCCUCAAUUUAUGGUUACUCCACUUCUGAAUGUGAAAAUUUACUUUCAGACUAAGAUCCUUCAGGGUUUUAUACAUCUCACUCAAUCUGCCAUUAUAAGGUAAGAGAAUAUAUGUGAAGGAUUGAACCAUAGUGAAUCAGUAUCUUGAACUAAAGAGCUCAGCAGCAUCCAAUAAACAUUUUACCUAUAAAUGUAUUUAAAAAAUAGCAAAUACGAAUGGCCCUCUCUUGUAGAAAUAUUUGUUUAGAGAAAAACAUACUAAUAUGUUUUCUCUAAAGGAUUUCUCUGUAUUUUCUAUUUCAUUUAAAAAUUGUAUUUGAACUUGCUAUGAUUGGUGUGAAAACUGAAAAACAGUCUAGCUCUUCAUUCACCGACGCUUGCAUGGCUAACGCUACUGUAAAUCAUCAAAAAGUUAUAUAUAUUUUUAUUUUACUUUAAGGCAUGAUUUGUUAUACUGAAUUACUGGGAUGGCUUCUUUUGUGUACAUUGGAAAUAAAAACUCAGGCCUCCCUAUUUUUAAGGUUAUUGUUAGUGGCAUAUAUAAAGCACCAUAGAAUAAUAUAUUCAGAUGAAGAAAACACAGAACAUUUAUGAGCUUUGAAUUAGCUGUCUAGGAGUAACUGCUAAGAAAAUAUAGCAAUAUUUAACACAGGAUUCAAAAUACUGUUAUUUAUCAAUAUAGAUUUUCAAAUGGAUUCUUCUCCCAUGUUUAAAGUUUUUUUCAUUAAAAUUUAUAUGUAAUUUAAAGUUUUUUGGUGGGAAGCAGGAUAUAUCUUCUGUACAAGAAUGUUACAGCUUUAUACAAAUUUUAGCAAUGAUAAGAAAUGGUCUUUAGCAUUCUCUUCCAAGUGCUGUGGUUUCACUUGCCUGUUUUAUAGUCUACUUGAUUCAAACGACAGCAAAUACUCUGAAUGCCUUGCUUCCUGGAGGAUUCUGUAAACUUUCUGAAAAUAUGCCAUUUUGGAAGGAAGCAAUGUACACCUUUCUUUUGUCUACUGGCAUAACAUCAACAUAACCACCCUCGUUGCGUACUACGCCAGCAUGUACAGCUGCCCGACAGAUACUGGAUAUAUCAGAAUAAAUUCGUGUUCCAAUGACUCGAGCGUAAUGUGGAUUUGCCUGCAUACAGUUGUGAGGACAAUACACUCUUGGGCAGUGUGAAGCUGGUUUUUGAAAUGGGCACAAUUGUUCCACUGUUGUUUCACAGGUGAUAGCUUGAACUGUUACUUUAGAGACUGUGAAGGAAUUAGCAGAUUGGUAUUUUCCAAUUGAUUGAAUGCCAUUCCUGUAAGAUUUGAUAAAGUAAUUUUUUCUUCCUUGCCUAGUGACAUCAACCCAACCACCUUCAUUGUCUAGGAUUCCAUAAUGUAUGGCAGCUUUACAGAUACUGGAUUGCAUUUCAUAAUGUACACUUCCAAUAACUUUGGCUUUGCUAUCCAAACAGCCAGCAGGACAUUCAUACCUAUUGCAAGUUGUUCCUUUGCACUGAUCUCUUAACCUUACUUCACAUGAAACAAUCUGAGACAUUUGCUGUGUGCUUAUUAAUUCAUUUUUCUCACUGUCCUCACUGCCUGUGGAGCCUGAAGGUGAAUGAGUUCUUGGUCGGCUUUGUGCUGUUGCAUCUUGGGCUUUGGAUCGUUGCCGUUCAAUCUCAUUGGUUUCCUCUUCUGGCUCAUGAGGAGAAUAAGGCCUUUCUGAGCCUUCUCUAUAACAAAGAUUUUCUCUGCAACCUCCUCCAAAACUAGGGGGACAUGCAGAACAAGGACGGCCAGGCUUAUAAGGAGCAUGACCCCACCAGUUACCCUUAGGAGAAUAAUUGCAUACAAGAUAGACUGCUUUUGGCCAAAUCUGUCCCCAGAUGUUCAUGUUAUGACACAAAUUAAUUGCACAACCUAUUCUGCUACUUGUAGCCCAAACAACCUGUGUAUAAUGUGUACAAACAGGACCAGAGCAUUUGUAAGGACAAUAUGGGUUGCAUUCAUGAGGAUGUGGGUACGUGAAAUCUCUCACUUCAUCAUACCAUGCUUGGACAUGAAAUGUUGGAGGUCUGUACCUUCCCCAGUGUGCCCCCAAAUUCUGUCCAAUGGAUGGAAGGAGGCUUGCAGGCCCAUGCUCCCACAGACAUGUUUCAGCCCAUGAUUCUGCAGAUCUUUCCAGUUCUGUAUCCCAUGUCAUAUAUUCCAUAUUGGAAGCUGGUGGAUACACCUGACCCCGUAAUUUAUUAUGAAGAUCCAAGAUACUUUGCAUAUCACUGUCUGUGAUAGCCCUUUUCCCUCUCUGCUUGGCGAUCCACCACUCACCAUCUUCAUCCAUGUAUUUUUCCAAAAGUUCCUCUAAGAGCGUGGCAUUGGGAAGAACCAUUGCAGAAACUGCUUGAGCUAUGAAUAGCAAGGUAGUUAUUCUGAGCCAUUCCUGCACUACAUACUUCAUGAUGAACGAUCUCAGAAUGCUCAGGGGUUAGCUCCAAGACAAAGUCUUUUUUCCAGGUCUGUUGGCCUCUGGCGCCGGCUGCCUCCUCUCUCUGCAGCCAGCUUCGCUCAGCCGCCCACUGCCUCGCCAGGCCCUCGCCGGCCUCGGGGGGCUGGAGAGGGGGCCCGGGCACGGCCUCGCCCCAGCGGUGGUUGCCGGGUUGCGAACGAGUCGUGCCGGCGAGGGGGGGUGUCGCCGAGCGCGCUGCCGCCCCUGGGAGCUCCACGCUUCUUCCUCCCGACUCCCGCCUCGGCGGGCAUUUAUCGCGGGCGGCGGUGACGUGAGGCGGCCACCCCUCCCGGCACCCCGCGGGGCGGGCCGCGAUUCGGGCUCCGGGCUCCGGCCCCCGGGCCCGCGGCCGCCCCCGCUCACCGCACCGCCCGUCCUCACCUGGACGGCCGCGAGCUCUGCCGCCCGCCAAAAGCUGGCCUGGCUCCUGCCUAAGUUGUGGCCCAGAAAAGGUCGAAAGUGGGCCCUGCUCCCCUGCCACCUCCAUCCGUGGGCAGCUGAGAGGAUGCUGAGCAGUUGCUUGGCUUCAUCAAAGCCAAAAAGCGGGGUGAUCAGCUUCCAAAAGCCCAGACCGUGUGAAUGCAGCAAGAGGUAUCGGGGCAGGAAUUUUGAAUUGUGGGUUCAGACCAGCUGCAUGAAGCUUUGCUUCACAAAGUAGAAUGGAAAAGCUUGUAACAACUACAUUUUCCAGCAAAAUCUCCUCCAGUAUUGGAAGUAAACUUUUGCAUUACAUUUACAUCAAAGUCCUAUAGCUUGAUUAUUAUUUUUUAUCCAAACCACUAGAGACAAUGUUUCACUUAUUUAGUAUAAUUUGGUGCCCUGAGCUAACAGUGGGAUUGACCAGCUUCCAGUCUUCACAGGACUGCUGUACCAGCUCGC